AGAGGAAGAAACACUUUUUUCAUUUUUUUGUGCUUCUCAGUAAGGCUUAGCACUGAAACAUGCAUCUCUAGUAAAUUCUGUAUGAUCCUCCCUCAACUCCCCCCCACCAAGGGGCUAGUUCUGUGCACCUCUAUUAAAUGCAAGGUGGAAAAUGGAUGGAGAAGAAUGGUACUUUUUUGGCUCACAGACUAAAUAGCCUAUGUUGGUAAAAACAGGUUUAGAGUCUUCACAGAAUACACUUUCUAAAGCCAAGCUCUCAUUUUCUUUUACACAACUAUUAAUGACCUCAGAAGGACAUCACAUUCCAUCUGCUUAAACCAGUGCCGUAGGAAUAACCCUUGAUUCUUUCAUUUUCCCAAAAUGCAGUCUAUCAGCAAGUCUUCCUGGAUUCACUUCUAAAACUGCUCAGUUGUGUUCACUGUUCUUCAUCUUGGUUCUUGUUUCCCAGGUCCAGGAGACCGUCAUCUCUUGCCUGGACUUUGGAACAAUCCUCCUAACUGAUCUGCUUGCAUCCACUUUGCCAACCCCCAACCCAUUUUCUACAUAGCAGUCACAGGAUCAUAAUCAUUGGUGCCUCAGCUUUCACAUGUGUAAAAUGGGAGUAGUGUUAGCACUUAUCGUAUUGGCCUCUUAUGAGGAUUAUACAAGAUCGUCAAAGUAAAGUCCUUAGCACAGUGUCUGACAAUCAAGUUGUUGUUGCUGUUUCCAUAAUUAAACCGUUAAACACCCUUUCUCUUUUCAUCAUGCUUUUCAUUUCUAAUCCUCUUAUUACACAGGCCAGAGACAUUUUUACUGGAAUGCAAAUCUGAUCCUCUCCAAAAGCUUCCCACUGCCUGCAGGAUAAACUCAAAUUUCUUGGCAUAACACUCAUGGUCCCUUAUGGUCUUUGACAUGCGUGGUCCCUGCCCACCUCUCUUACCUCACCUUUGACCACACUUCCUUCUUCCUGUCCCCAUUCUAAGCACACAUACACCUGCCCCUCUCCACGCUUUGACCAUACCAAACUUCAAUGCCAGUUCCAAAAAGCAUGGUAUACCCUCUCAGUCUGGGUCUUUGUAAGUUUUUUGUCUGUCUGAAAUGUCUUCCUCUCCUUUCUCUCCUCUCCUUCCCUGCAACAUCCAACAAUGACCCCAUGCCCAUGGCUAACUCCUACUCAGCAUUUGGGCUUCACUUAGGGUAAAUGCCUGGUCACCUUCAGCUUUCCCUGAGCCUAAUAAGGAUGCGUUAGGUUUGCCUUUGUUGUGUUCCCAUAACAUCCUUCAUAUGCAUCUGUGGUAGAAUGUAUAUAACAGGAUGUGAGAAUGGAAAUCUUAGCUGAGGCCGAAGGAAACAGAAACGUUAUCCCAUUAGGAGAUGUAGGACAUAAAUAAAAUUUACAAAGAGGUAGAGAAAAAGGCUUAUUUGACUUCUCAAACUCCUGACCUAUAUCAAGAUAAAAAAGAGUUAAGCAUUAUAAAUGAGAGAAGAAUUGAGGGGAACAUGCCCCUGUCGAGGGUUAUGGCUAUAAAUCCAACCUACUUUACCUAAAGAGGAAAGAGAGAGGAUGGAAGGAAGAAUUGCCAGCUGUAAAGCAUGGCAUGAAGAAAGCAUGAGCGCAAGUUCUAGAAUCUAGAUUCCAAGGUCUACCUCAUUAUUUGCUGUGUGACUUUGAAAAAAAGAAUCACUAGAAUUUAAAAGGACAAAGAUGACUUCGAUCACUUCGAUGGUCCUUUCAAGCCUUAACAUUCACAAUUCUAUGGUUUUGGUAAGGAGAAAUCCAUGUCAACGUCCCCUCUAAACCAGAGGAUUAGAUGAGAUGGAGUAACUUAUUAUAUAUAUAUUUUUUUCAUUGAGAGGGAGAGACAGGAAGAGAGAGAGAGAAAGAGAGAGGGAGCUUGAGUUUCCCAGAACCUUUUAGAACAGACUCUUUAAUUCUGAGAAUGUUAUAGCCAAAUACCACUUCGAGCCCAGUUAUUUUGCAUAGCUUUUCUAUCAUGAGUGGCUCUUGUCUCAAAGCUGUCCUUUACUUCUAGGAACCACCCACCCCUGGGGUGGGGUUGGGUCACAUGGUGGCCCCCAAAACAAUACGUUCACACUCUAAUCCCCAGAACAUGUGCAUAUGACCUUAUCUAGAACAAGGGUCUUUGCUGAUGUAAUUAUGUUAAGAAAUUCAAGAUAAGAUCACCAUAGAUUAUCAGGGGAGGCCCUAAAUCCAUUGACAAGUGUCCUUAUAAAAGACAUGCAAGGAAAAGAGAAGGUCAUGAGAAGAUAGGCAGAGAAUCUUUAUGUACCAUGGACCGAGGAAUGCUCACAGUCACCAGGAGAUGGAGGAGGCAAGGGAGGCUCCCCUAGAGCCGUGGAGGGAGCCUGGCUCUGCUGACCCCUUGACUUGGGACUUCUGGCCUUUGGAACUGUGAGAGUACACAAUGCAGCUAUUCGAAGCCCCCCAGUUUGUGCAAAUUUGGUACUGCAGCCCCAGGAACUGACCUACCUCCUGUGAUGUUCUUUUGAACAGAACUUGUGUUCUAGAAUCAUUACUCCCUGUGCCUCACCAAAGCUUGUCAGCUCUUGGGGUGAUAUUCCUGACGGAAGUGGCUAGGUGCAUACCGAAGCCAUCUGGUAAGCCAAGGUCUAUCUCCAUGUCUUGACAACGGUGGAUACAUUUUCACUUCUCCAGAGACUCUUCUGCCCCUAUACAAGAGUAAUAUGAUAUUUUUAUAAUUGUUUGUCUUUCAAAGAGCUUUCAGGAACAGGAGGUCAUUCUUCCAGCAUGCCCCAUUAGAUACACUGGAGGUAUUAUCGUGCUCAUCUCGUAGAGGAAGAAACUGAGCAACCAAAGAAAAAUGAUUUUCCUCAGGACACCCAAGCCAUAGUGGUAUGGAUCAGACUGGUACCCAAGUUUCUGGAUCAAAGGAUACUAUUGUCAAAGGACCAUUAGAGAGAUAUCUUGAACACAAUAGCAAGGGAAAACUUCUCAAAUCAUAGCGAUGGGGGACUGUUGAUGCUGGUUACUGGCAAAGCUGUUAACUAAUGAGUCACUAACCCUCUACCAAUACUAUGAAAGUAACUCUCAUGUCCCUUAGAGGGAAAGUCACUUUCUUAACACUGGUCUGCUGGAUCUGGCCCCACUUCUUACCAUGGCCUCUUCUUCCUCCCCUCAAUUCCUGCACUCCACUAACAAACCCAGCUAGUGGGUUCAAUCCCUGACCUCGCUCACUGGGUUAAGGAUCCUGAAUUGCUACGGCUGUGGUGUAGGCCAACAGCUGCAGCUCCGAUUCGACCCCUCACCUAGGCCUAGGAACUUCCAUAUGCCAUGAGUGUGGCCCUGAAAAGUUAAAAAAAAAAAAAGUUUCUAUGUCACAAGAUAUGUGCUGUUCAUGGCCAGACCUUUGCAUCCUGUGCAUGAGAUGACCAGGCAAGCGGAGCCCCCAGGCCCUGCUCUGGCUGCCUCCACACCAAACAUCAGUGACAGCCUGAAAGUAUCAAAAUAGCAUCUCUGAAUGAAAAGUAAAUAAUGAUUUGAGAUUUCUCUCUCUCUUUUUAUUUAUAAGGAAAAACUAAAUAUAUCAGGAGGAUAGACAAUCACGGAUUAACUGCCUGAGAUCUUCUGGUAUAAUUAGGAAAGUUGGUCCCUGGAACCACUGUCACAUCCAUUUGAGACAGUUAGUGCAGCUCGGGGCUGGUACUGUACCACAUCCACAACCCAGGACUCACAGCUUCCUUAAGGAGAGGAAGAUGGAACAUACUUUAAUGCAUGGAGAAUGGAUGGAUAUUGUAAACCUGAAUUAAGUCUUAGUCAAAGAGGCGUGUGUGUGUGUGUGUGUGUGUGUGUGUGUGUGUGUGUGUGUGUGUAUCAGUAUGUCUGUGAAGUUGCAAAUCUUAUUGGCAGGACUUUGAUCCAGAAGUUUAAGGCUGCUAGUUAAACUGAAGUGAAAAUAAAUGAAUUUCUGCCAUUUCUACUCAGGGCCUGCAAGGAGACAGUAAGUCCUUGAUCACAUCAUUGGCGAAUAAUGAAACGAGUCCUUCUUGCUGCCGUCAUCCCUCCGUUUUACCCUGAAAGGAGAAUCCUAGCCAUGGUAGAGAGAAAAGGGCACCAGACUGGCGGCCGUCAUUCCCAUGGGCCUGGCUCAAAGCCCGGCAUUUUUACCUUGAAGGCAACUGAGUUCGGACAAGCCCUUCCCGUCAGCUUGUCUCUUCAUCUCAAAAUACCACUAUCUCACCUGCCUCCAAGACUCGUAGUAAGAAUCUAACUUGACCAUAAGUAUUAAAAAGGAUCAGUAUUACAUGACAGACAUUUCAGGCCUCCUGUGUUCAAAUUCUGGCUCUACCCCAAGAUGAGUGUUCGAACUUCUGCAAAUUGUUUAAAGUUCCUAAGACUCAGUUUUCUCACUGGCAAAAUGGGGCCACUAAUAGUGCCUUCUUCACAGAGUUGUUGUAAGGAUUAAAACAAUUCACAAAAAGCUUCUUAGAACAUGCAGAUAAAGCUCAAAACAUUAUAAUUACUGUAACAAUUGUUUUAAUUUUUGGUUAAUGGUUAAUUGAAUGGUUGGAGCUCCCUGAUGGCUCAGCUGGUUGAGAAUCUGGCAUUGUCCCUGCUGUGGUGCAGGCUUCAGUCCCUGGCCUGGGAACUGCCGUGUGCCCAUGGGCAUGGGCAAAAAAAUAAUUGUGAUAAUUAUUUAGACAAGGUCUUGACAUGCAAAAGACGCUUAGGAAAUAAUGGAUAAGCUAAAUUUUGCAACUAGCCACUUUGAGCAAAAAGUUUUUCCUUUCUGGGGUAUUCCAGCCAGAAUAAAUCUAUCCACAAUGAGUUUCAAUCUAGACAGUAACAGGCAGAUGCCAGGACAGCCAGGUGGCUGUGCUGCUCCAGGAUUCAUGUUAGGGAAUAAAUAUGUUAGAGAGGCCGAGCAUUGAUAAAGAGCCACAGUUCUAGAAAUGAAAGUCAUGGAGAACCACUUGAAUCUCCUAAAAAACGGAGGCUUUGAAGGGACUAAUGCAUAACUCCCAAUCUACAGGAGUUAUUUUGCUUGAUUCUCCCUAUACACUGUUACAGCAGCUGCCCAGCAGCCCUGUGCUGCAGUAUAUCAGCUCUAGCACAGCCCUGUGGCUGUAGUGUGCCAGCUCUAGUGACAACCCUGUGGCUAUAGUGUACCCGCUCCAGCAGCUCUGUGGCUGCAGUGUAUCAGCUCUUUUAUCCAGGAAGAAAGCAAGCGAGAGUUGGAGAACUCAGUUUUAUUACGCCCGCAGGCUCGGAGGAGAUUGCUCUCUGGAGUCUGAGCCCGAAAGAAGGGUUUCACAAGGCUUUUAUGGGCUAGCUCUUCUGGGUCCGUGCUUGGGGGACGGGAGUGAGGUCAGGCAAGGUAGUAGAUGCGGAACAAGUGUAUAGAAGCAGAUGUGUGGGGAAGGGCUGGUUAGGGGCAGUUGGCUGGACUUUGCUUAGUCAUCAUGGCCGGGGUCUCUCCUUUCUACAUUUUCAUCAGGACAUUUUCUUUUACAACUCUAUAGAUUAGCCUUGUUACAUAUCUACACAUGAGGAGAAUGUAAAAACAAAUUGUUCUGGAUUCACAUUCGCGUGAUCUGACUCCCAAAGCCACAAAACUGCUCUCUUUGCAGGAUAAAGCCAUGAGCAAGAUCAAAGCCCUUGUGUAACUGUGCAAAUUAAGACAGCUCCAUACAUGAUGGAAGUUAAGACCUUCAACUGAAAAAAAUUCACAACCCAAAGUUGAGAAUCAUGUUUUAUUCUGAGGACUUAAGCCCGGGAGACAGGCUCUUAGACAGCUCUGAGGGGCUGCUCUGAUUAGGUAAGGAGGGAGCCAGAAUAUAUUGGAGUUUUUGGAAAAAGAAACAAACAAAAAACCCCUGAAGAAACCCAGGUAGUUGGAAUAUCAAAAGAUUACUGUUGGAGUUCCUGUCUUGGCACAGUGGUUAACGAAUCCAACUAGGAACCAUGUGGUUGUGGGUUCGAUCCCUGGCCUUGCUCAGUGGUUUAAGGAUCCGCGUUGCCGUGAGCUGUGGUGUAGGUUGCAGACGUGGCUCAGAUCCCACAUUGCUGUGGCUCUGGCAUAGG
Molecule: long non-coding RNA, 6043 nt
Filed under: Sus scrofa (pig)
Lineage: Eukaryota; Metazoa; Chordata; Mammalia; Artiodactyla; Suidae
Description: lncRNA (ENSSSCG00000060132.1)
Source: RNAcentral